UGAGUAAUGUCUGGGAAACUGCCCGAUGGAGGGGGAUAACUACUGGAAACGGUAGCUAAUACCGCAUAACGUCGCAAGACCAGAGUGGGGGACCUUCGGGCCUCACACCAUCGGAUGUGCCCAGAUGGGAUUAGCUAGUAGGAGGGGUAAUGGCUCACCUAGGCGACGAUCCCUAGCUGGUCUGAGAGGAUGACCAGCCACACUGGAACUGAGACACGGUCCAGACUCCUACGGGAGGCAGCAGUGGGGAAUAUUGCACAAUGGGCGCAAGCCUGAUGCAGCCAUGCCGCGUGUAUGAAGAAGGCCUUCGGGUUGUAAAGUACUUUCAGCGGGGAGGAAGGCGGUGGAGUUAAUAGCUUCACCGAUUGACGUUACCCGCAGAAGAAGCACCGGCUAACUCCGUGCCAGCAGCCGCGGUAAUACGGAGGGUGCAAGCGUUAAUCGGAAUUACUGGGCGUAAAGCGCACGCAGGCGGUCUGUCAAGUCGGAUGUGAAAUCCCCGGG
Molecule: ribosomal RNA, 504 nt
Filed under: uncultured bacterium
Lineage: Bacteria
Description: bacterial SSU rRNA
Rfam family: Bacterial small subunit ribosomal RNA
Source: RNAcentral